This 47-nucleotide transfer RNA is filed under the name Crocidura grayi halconus. Its description in RNAcentral is "partial tRNA-Thr". The record is from RNAcentral. Lineage: Eukaryota; Metazoa; Chordata; Mammalia; Eulipotyphla; Soricidae.
AUUAGAGCCUUAGUAGUAUAGUUAAUACACUGGUCUUGUAAACCGGA